Molecule: long non-coding RNA, 1834 nt
Organism: Junco hyemalis (dark-eyed junco)
Lineage: Eukaryota; Metazoa; Chordata; Aves; Passeriformes; Passerellidae
Source: Ensembl
CCCACCCUUAAUUUAACCGGAGUCACCAGUCAGCUCCUGAGGCAUAAACAGGCAGCUGAAGCACCGCGCGUAGGCUGACUUUAGUGCUGGAUGCCGAGCAGCGCUUGGCACAGGUGGAGGAGUUUUCAUCACAGACCCAAAUUAACUCCGGUGAAGUUGUUCCGCGCCUGCCAGUGCCGGAGGAGCAAUCUCCGUGUGGGAGAAGCGCCCAGCGCGCCGCCCUCCCCUCCCGGCGCCGCUCGCCCGAACAAAGGCGGCAGCGCCGGGUCCCCUUUGUGCGCCGCGGGCCGGGCACGGAGCGAUCCCAGUGCCCGCCCCGGGCUCCCAGCACGGUCCGGCCCGGCACGGCACGGCCCGGCACAGCUCAGCUCAGCUCAGCUCAGCUCAGCACAGCACAGCACAGCACAGCAGCGCGUCGGGAGGAAGCGCCGGCUGCGCGGCGGGCGGGCGGCUGCCCGGGCCCUGCCCGCCCCCGUCUCCUCCCCUCGGCCGCCGAUUCUCCGCCCCCUCCGCCCUCUCCUCGCGGCGGCGGCGGUGCCUUCCUCGGCCCCGGCUCCUCCGGCUCUCCACGGCUUCGCCUCGCUCCGCUCCGGGGGCUCCCGCGCCGCGCUGCCCAGCACGAGUCCUCUGGAGCAUUACAUUCCCCUGUUUGGAGUGUGGACAAGAGUUUGGCAUUCUGCUUUUACAGAAAUGGAGCCCCAGUGUCGUGGUGCCUGGAGCACCAGCUUUCAGAAGGACUUGUGUCUCCUCCAGCAAGUGAUUCUUACAACAGGCACCACGAAGUGUCACCACAGUGGAAAUGUGGGUACAGCUGUGUCUUCAUUAUCCUCUUGACGUCACAUUUGAAGCUUCCUCUCAGGUUCCUUAGAAAUAUGUUAAUUUUAAAAAAAAAGGAAGUUAUUUUCAGCAGAAGAGAGAUGAAACACAGUGCUACAUGUGUGUAAGUGUCCAGUUGGGAGCCCAGGGUGGGGCUCCCAUCAUUUCUCAGACAGCCUCUGCAUGUUGGCUCAUUCCUGCUGAACUGUAUUUGACUUGAAAGAGUGAAAAUAAUGAUUUUGCUUCUCACUAGUCUAGUUCAUAUAUCAGUCAACAAUUGUUGGCUUUGCCAAGGGAGACUUUUGCUCUAUUAAUCCACAAGCUUGCUCUCCAGAGUCCUUCACUGUGGCCUCACCCCAGCCUGCCAACUUCUGGGUCUGCUCAGGGCUUCUUACCCACACACAGCACAGAAAUAAUAUUAACAGCAUCCACUUAAAUCAACAAGACAGCUUUGGGACUAUGCUUACAACUGUUAAGCCAAAGCAUAAAUAUUUCUGGAAACCUCAAAAAUGUAAAUCUAGAGUGGGAAACUGCUUGAAAAUUCACCUGUCACAGGUAGUACUGCAGUUCCAGUGUCAUAUAAACAUAAAGUAGCUUUUGUUUUAACUUAGUCAGAUCCCUAGUGAAAUAUUUUGUGACCGCUUUUGUUUUCAAAUUUACUAUGCUUUAGUUCAGUAAUUGGUUUAUGACUGUAAUUACUAGUCUUUCAGGCAACACUUAUUAAAAACAAAUUAGGUUUCUGAAAACUCUGGUGAUUUCAUGAUCAUAUAGAUCCAUAUAAAUCACAGUUAAUUAAGCUCUUUAUCACUUAGGUUUUCCAUACACAAUGUAUUUACAGCAUUGCUGUAAAUAAGACACAAUAUUCCUAUCUUUCCACACCAAUUUAGUCAUAUUAAAACAAAAAUGGGUUUGUAAAAAUGGAGGCUGAAAAUCAGAAUUUACUUAAGUAGCCUGCUGCACACUAACAAUGAUACGAUGGUGUAAGCUGAUUGUGUUUAUCUAGAGAGGGGGAAAACCC